GAUGAACGCUGGCGGCGUGCCUAAUACAUGCAAGUCGAGCGAACGGACGAGAAGCUUGCUUCUCUGAUGUUAGCGGCGGACGGGUGAGUAACACGUGGAUAACCUACCUAUAAGACUGGGAUAACUUCGGGAAACCGGAGCUAAUACCGGAUAAUAUUUUGAACCGCAUGGUUCAAAAGUGAAAGACGGUCUUGCUGUCACUUAUAGAUGGAUCCGCGCUGCAUUAGCUAGUUGGUAAGGUUACGGCUUACCAAGGCAACGAUGCAUAGCCGACCUGAGAGGGUGAUCGGCCACACUGGAACUGAGACACGGUCCAGACUCCUACGGGAGGCAGCAGUAGGGAAUCUUCCGCAAUGGGCGAAAGCCUGACGGAGCAACGCCGCGUGAGUGAUGAAGGUCUUCGGAUCGUAAAACUCUGUUAUUAGGGAAGAACAUAUGUGUAAGUAACUGUGCACAUCUUGACGGUACCUAAUCAGAAAGCCACGGCUAACUACGUG
This 497-nucleotide ribosomal RNA is filed under the name uncultured bacterium. RNAcentral's name for it is "partial 16S ribosomal RNA". It matches the Rfam family "Bacterial small subunit ribosomal RNA", at positions 28 to 507 of the family's 1533-position model. The record is from RNAcentral.